AACAGGUCUGUUGCAAGAGGAACAGCGCUGAGCUGAAACACCGUGAUAAAGAAGUGGCAGAAAAAACAGUGUCACUCAGCAAACUUCCUCUGCUUGAGGAGAACAGGAUAAAAUCAGUGCAGUUUUCUUGCCUGGCAGGAGAAGGCAGCAGCCACAAUGAGGGUGCAGUUUAUCAGCCCCCUUGUAGGCUUUUGCUGGCUCAUCUGCCUCAAGGAGACUCAUUUCUCCAGCGCGGAGAUCAAUGAAUGUUUCCAAGUCCCCCCGCCCUGCGGCCCGAAUGCCGUAUGCCUUGACACUGCCGG
Molecule: non-coding RNA, 302 nt
Organism: Pelodiscus sinensis (Chinese soft-shelled turtle)
Lineage: Eukaryota; Metazoa; Chordata; Testudines; Trionychidae
Source: RefSeq, a predicted model, not a curated record